CCUACGGGAGACAGCAGUGAGGAAUAUUGGUCAAUGGACGAGAGUCUGAACCAGCCAAGUAGCGUGAAGGAUGACUGCCCUAUGGGUUGUAAACUUCUUUUAUAUGGGAAUAAAACGUUCCACGUGUGGGAUUUUGUAUGUACCAUAUGAAUAAGGAUCGGCUAACUCCGUGCCAGCAGCCGCGGUAAUACGGAGGAUCCGAGCGUUAUCCGGAUUUAUUGGGUUUAAAGGGAGCGUAGGUGGAUUGUUAAGUCAGUUGUGAAAGUUUGCGGCUCAACCGUAAAAUUGCAGUUGAAACUGGCAGUCUUGAGUACAGUAGAGGUAGGCGGAAUUCGUGGUGUAGCGGUGAAAUGCUUAGAUAUCACGAAGAACUCCGAUUGCGAAGGCAGUUCACUGGACUGCAACUGACACUGAGGCUCGAAAGUGUGGGUAUCAAACAGGAUUAGAUACCCGUGUAGUC
RNAcentral lists this ribosomal RNA (460 nucleotides) under uncultured bacterium. Its description in RNAcentral is "partial 16S ribosomal RNA". It matches the Rfam family "Bacterial small subunit ribosomal RNA", at positions 338 to 795 of the family's 1533-position model. The record is from RNAcentral.